UGUCAGUAUGCCCUCAUCCGCGUGCUGAGUCUUUACUAAAUUCUAUGUCCACCCGCUUUGAGAAGUCAAAGAGGACUCAUACGUAUGUGAAAGUUGCAAGACCGGAAGAGCAAGAAAAAACCAAUAAAGAUGCGGAGAACAAUGAAGUCGAUGAACAAGCAGAAAACCAUGAUGUUGAUGACCCUGAUGAUUUAGAAGAUUA
Molecule: unclassified non-coding RNA, 202 nt
Filed under: Hevea brasiliensis (rubber tree)
Lineage: Eukaryota; Viridiplantae; Streptophyta; Magnoliopsida; Malpighiales; Euphorbiaceae
Source: RNAcentral